GUGCCAGCCGCCGCGGUAAUACGGAGGGGGCUAGCGUUGUUCGGAAUUACUGGGCGUAAAGCGCGCGUAGGCGGUUCUUCAAGUCAGAGGUGAAAGCCCGGUGCUCAACAUCGGAAUUGCCUUUGAAACUAGGGAACUUGAAUCCAGGAGAGGUGAGUGGAAUUCCGAGUGUAGAGGUGAAAUUCGUAGAUAUUCGGAAGAACACCAGUGGCGAAGGCGGCUCACUGGACUGGUAUUGACGCUGAGGUGCGAAAGCGUGGGGAGCAAACAGGAUUAGAUACCCUCGUAGUCC
Molecule: ribosomal RNA, 292 nt
Filed under: uncultured bacterium
Lineage: Bacteria
Description: partial 16S ribosomal RNA
Rfam family: Bacterial small subunit ribosomal RNA
Source: RNAcentral